GAGGAACGACGGCGGUGUGAGUUUACUGUGGAGCCCUAGGAGGAGCUAGGGGAAGAGGAUCCAAAGGAGGAGGUGGGUUAGGGCUUCCGCGAGCGACGGAGGAGGGCGUAGGCAGACGAGCGAGCAGGGGCUCGUUGAGUGAACUGGCCGGCCGGUGGUCUCGUGGUGGUGGUCACUGGUCGUCGAGCGGCCUCGGUCGUCUACUCGAGGAGGGAAGAAGAGACGAGGUAAGAAGGGAACGAGAGGGGAAGGGGACUAGAGAGAGGGAGCAAGACAGUACGUCCACAGGAGGGCUCGCGGUACCUGUCCUCGGGGCGGUACCUAGAGGUUCAGGCGCCGACGCAACAGGGUGUCGGGGGAGCAGCAGCAGGGGUAUCGGUUCAGGGCGCGAAGGGGAUGUAGGUCGUUGCCGUUCAGUCGGCGUGUCGAACAGCGACGUAGGGGUCGGGGCGCCACCUGAGGAUACGAAGCUCGGAGCGGGGACGCGGCAGAAGGGGCGCGCGGUGUCCUCUGUCCUCUGGCCUGUGGUGGGGCCGUUCGAGAUAGCGGAGGGUAGCGAGGUUGAAGCGGCUUCAUGGGUUGUUCCGACUGGGAAGACUUCAAGCAGCGCGGCGGGACGGUCCUGCACGGGAGCGGCAGAGGAAGGAGAGGCGGUGUUCUCGACUGGAGGUACCGCUACAGCCGGAGCUCGAGCUACCAGGGCGGUGGCGGCACUUGCCUGGGAUGGAGCCUAGACGGAGGAGGAGGUGGGCAGCAGGGGUAGACGCCCGAGGGGACGUAGCCGGCGACGGAGGGGACGAAGAUGCACGCUCGUGCGCCCCUGCUCCUGCUGGUCGCGGGCGCAACUGAAGGGCCAGGCUUCGGCGAUCGGUCGAAUCAGGGAGGGAGUUCCGGGUCGAGACGCGAGUUUGAGAUCAGGCGGAGGCCGGAGUAGGUGAAUGACCCGAACCGGGUACCCACUCGUCGGGGUUGCGGGGGGGAAAAAAGACAAGUACAACCUGGAGACGAAUCAAAGCCGAGUAUAUCACAAAAAAGUACAGACGCAAAAUCUGUAAUAGGUCACAAAAUGGACAAAACGUCUUUGGGGGGUUCGAAGUAGUAUAGGAUUGAGUGGUUGAUACGUAGUAUACAUUUAUUGAAUAUAUACAUUUUACGAACCAAAAAGUAGAUCAAAGUAUUAUACGUUGAAAGUUGGUACAAUUUUUACAAAUUUUACUACAAACACAAAUAAAAAGUAUUACGGUACGAAGUAAUUUGGCCUGUACGUAGUAUGAACCAACACGUAGUACGGUACAAGUACACUACCAACAAAUGAUACAACGAAAGAAGAAAGGCCCAACGAAGAGAGCAAUCGAAGCCAAAACCAGGUCUCAACACUCCUAAGCAAGCUGAUACAGGCAAAAGGAAGAAGUACCUGAGCAAGAAGAAGGAACGCCCUAGAGUCCGUUCUACUGGUAUGGGAGUUUUAGUGAAAAUAGAAACGAACGAUCAACAAGCGAGAUAACGAUGCAGCACGAUGGAUGGUGAACGAUAUAGUACGGAGGGUAUAACGGUACAGUUCGGAGAUUGGGUGGAAAGGAUCGUUGGGCAACAAACCGAUACAAUGGCGAAAACGAGUUGGGGAGAAUAUCGCAACGAUCAACGUCCACUUCUACUUCGAACAAGGUACAACCUUGUACCUGUACAACCCUAUAGUGUUAUAGAGAAUAAAUUAAAUUACGUAGAUAUAUGAACCAUUUCCCACCUUCCGAGCCGGAAUACGGACCACAAAACAAGGUGAGAACAGCGGGAUCAAAGGUAGUAUGGCCACAAUACAAGGAACUAAAACGCAAGGAAUGCGCUAACCCACAAUACCCUUGGGGAACUGUCAAACGAAACUUAUUUUGAGGAGGUCGUUCGGGGUUGGAACCAAAAUGUAAACGGAUUGUUGGAUUCGGAAAAAGGGAAUCCAAAGGCCUCGGGCUCCCAGUAGAAAUAAAAUUGGGGGGCCCGGUCACGAGGAGACUCACAACCAGGUUGGAAAAUCGGUGGCCACCGGUGGUCCCCGUUGAGAUCCAACCGGAUGGCCUUCGAACCUGUUAGGCCACACGGAACUUUUGCUCUAACACGUCGAGGAUAGCCCUAAACAGCCGUGUAAGCCCACCGAAACGACCAGAACAAAAUGGUAACGGCUUUAUAGAACAUUGGCCCUAAAGCUCAGACUAGUCCAGAAGGACCCUCUUCCUUAUAGGAAGCAACUGGUACCCUCGAACACUACCCGAUUCAACCCUGUGGGGACGUCCCAUAUUUGAAAGCUUUCGGUACGGGCGCCAAUACACCGUCUACCCUUAAACAAUUAUAGGCCAACAUCUCUUGAACUGAACUGAAUUAAUUUUACGUAGUUGGCGUACACAUCGGUACUACCAGAGAAAAGCCGCCUCAGGCCCUUCACUUGUGCCAAGAACACAAUACUAACACGCAUUCAUCAAAAUCCUAGUGAAGGACUAGUGAAGAUCGAAUGCUGGUAACGCAACGAAGAGAAGAGCGAGAAUAAACGCAUACAAUCGGUGGUAUGUACAAAUCACGAACGACGUCGAGGUGGAGUAAUGGACAGGAUGGGUAUUCGAAUUUAUCAGAACUAGAUCGCCCACACUCUAACGACUCAGGAGCACUGAGUGCCUAUGAAGGUUUGUCAACGUCCACGGCUACUAUCGUCACGUCUACUGCGUUGGCUCGAGUUCACCCUCGAGCUACUUCUGAACAAGCAACACAACAAAGCAAAGGAUAACUAGUCAUCACCUCGGGUCAACCCUGCUAGCCCCUAGAUCGUAAACCCCAACAGAAGAAAAUAAAACCAAGGCAUCAGCCUGGAAACAAACAUGAAACCUAAUACAUACUUGAUAAAUACAUAACACACUUCACCGCUAACAUUCGGUUGAGAAAUAGGG
This 2927-nucleotide ribosomal RNA is filed under the name Triticum aestivum (bread wheat). RNAcentral's name for it is "partial small subunit ribosomal RNA". Lineage: Eukaryota; Viridiplantae; Streptophyta; Magnoliopsida; Poales; Poaceae. The record is from RNAcentral.